This 90-nucleotide transfer RNA is filed under the name bacterium. Its description in RNAcentral is "tRNA-Ser". It matches the Rfam family "tRNA". Rfam says of the family: Transfer RNA (tRNA) molecules are approximately 80 nucleotides in length. Their secondary structure includes four short double-helical elements and three loops (D, anti-codon, and T loops). RNAcentral also lists the same sequence under 1 other name. The record is from RNAcentral.
GGAAGAUUGGCUGAGUGGUUUAAAGCAACGGUUUACUAAACCGUCGUAGGGGUAACUCUACCGUGGGUUCGAAUCCUACAUCUUCCGCCA